UACGUAGGUGGCAAGCGUUGUCCGGAUUUACUGGGCGUAAAGAGCGCGCAGGCGGUCGUUCAAGUCGCGUGUGAAAGCCCCCGGCUCAACUGGGGAGGGUCACGCGAUACUGAUCGACUCGAAGGCAGGAGAGGGAAGUGGAAUUCCCGGUGUAGUGGUGAAAUGCGUAGAUAUCGGGAGGAACACCAGUGGCGAAGGCGACUUCCUGGCCUGUUCUUGACGCUGAGGCGCGAAAGCGUGGGGAGCAAACGGG
RNAcentral lists this ribosomal RNA (253 nucleotides) under uncultured bacterium. RNAcentral describes it as "partial 16S ribosomal RNA". It matches the Rfam family "Bacterial small subunit ribosomal RNA", at positions 524 to 776 of the family's 1533-position model. The record is from RNAcentral.